GAACUCAGCUUAGCCUGACAGUUAGCCUGCCCCGGACCAGAAGCCGUGGAUGAAAGGGGAGGUCUACAGACUCCUGAAGACGCAGAACGCUGCCUUCAGAGCUGGAGAUGAGGUGGGCAUGAGGACAGCUAGGGCCAACCUAUCCCGCGGCUAUGACAGCACCAUCUCCCUGCUGAAUGAGCUGAAUGCCUUCUUCGCUCGCUUUGAGGAACAAAACAGCACCACUGCACAGAAGACUCCACCUCCUCCC
Cyprinus carpio carpio is the source of this 250-nucleotide long non-coding RNA. The record is from Ensembl. NCBI's taxonomy places the organism in Eukaryota, Metazoa, Chordata, Actinopteri, Cypriniformes, Cyprinidae.